RNAcentral lists this ribosomal RNA (301 nucleotides) under uncultured bacterium. Its description in RNAcentral is "partial 16S ribosomal RNA". It matches the Rfam family "Bacterial small subunit ribosomal RNA", at positions 509 to 807 of the family's 1533-position model. The record is from RNAcentral.
CAGCAGCCACGGUAAUACGAAGGGGGCUAGCGUUGUUCGGAAUCACUGGGCGUAAAGGGUGCGUAGGCGGAUUCUUAAGUCAGGGGUGAAAUCCCGAGGCUCAACCUCGGAACUGCCUUUGAUACUGGGGAUCUUGAGUCCGGAAGAGGUGAGUGGAACUGCGAGUGUAGAGGUGAAAUUCGUAGAUAUUCGCAAGAACACCAGUGGCGAAGGCGGCUCACUGGUCCGGAACUGACGCUGAGGCACGACAGCGUGGGGAGCAAACAGGAUUAGAUACCCCCGUAGUCCCUGUCUCUUAUAC